This 274-nucleotide ribosomal RNA is filed under the name uncultured bacterium. RNAcentral describes it as "partial 16S ribosomal RNA". It matches the Rfam family "Bacterial small subunit ribosomal RNA", at positions 523 to 796 of the family's 1533-position model. The record is from RNAcentral.
AUACGGAGGGUGCGAGCGUUAUCCGGAUUUAUUAGGUUUAAAGGGUGUGUAGGCGGGAGCCUAAGUCAGUGGUGAGAUCUCACAGCUUAACUGUGAAACUGCCAUUGAAACUGGGUUUCUUGAGUAUAGUUGAGGUAGGCGGAAUGUGUAAUGUAGCGGUGAAAUGCAUAGAUAUUACACAGAACACCGAUUGCGAAGGCAGCUUACUAAGCUAUUACUGACGCUGAUGCACGAAAGCGUGGGUAGCGAACAGGAUUAGAAACCCCGGUAGUCC